RNAcentral lists this ribosomal RNA (491 nucleotides) under uncultured bacterium. Its description in RNAcentral is "partial 16S ribosomal RNA". It matches the Rfam family "Bacterial small subunit ribosomal RNA", at positions 29 to 506 of the family's 1533-position model. The record is from RNAcentral.
AGUGAACGCUGGCGGUAGGCCUAACACAUGCAAGUCGAACGGCAGCACAGUAAGAGCUUGCUCUUACGGGUGGCGAGUGGCGGACGGGUGAGGAAUACAUCGGAAUCUACUUUUUCGUGGGGGAUAACGUAGGGAAACUUACGCUAAUACCGCAUACGACCUACGGGUGAAAGCAGGGGAUCUUCGGACCUUGCGCGAUUGAAUGAGCCGAUGUCGGAUUAGCUAGUUGGCGGGGUAAAGGCCCACCAAGGCGACGAUCCGUAGCUGGUCUGAGAGGAUGAUCAGCCACACUGGAACUGAGACACGGUCCAGACUCCUACGGGAGGCAGCAGUGGGGAAUAUUGGACAAUGGGCGCAAGCCUGAUCCAGCCAUACCGCGUGGGAGAAGAAGGCCUUCGGGUUGUAAAGCCCUUUUGUUGGGAAAGAAAAGCAGCAGGUUAAUACCCCGCUGUUCUGACGGUACCCAAAGAAUAAGCACCGGCUAACUUCGU